AAAAAGCAACAUUUCCUCUCCAGACGGAUGCGGUGCUGCUGGGUCUUAAAGACUGCCCUCUGCCCAGAAUCCAGUAUAGAAAAUAAAUCCAGGGGAUGUACAGUUUCAGUCACAACAUGGCCUGAGCCUGGACGUUGUCGCUUCCACACUUAAAAUAAGAAAACUGCAACAAACUUAAAAUCAAUUACUUUCCCUGGAUUCUGAGAACUGUGGUUGCAGGACAAAUGCCCACCCCUAAAUCUGGAGGAUCACAGCUGACAUCUGCUCACCUAGAGCAGAAGCUACUAGUACCGUAAAGUGACAGGAAUACUUAAAUGGUAAUUUUAACAAAUUUCUGGAGGCUGAGUAUUAACUAGAAUGACAGUGGGAAACUCCAGGAGCACCAGAUUUAGGGGACCUCAUAUUUAUUGAAUUUUACCACUAGGAAAUGCACUAGCAACUUACAAUUUAAAAAUCAAGAAAGAUAUUCUCUUGACUCUAGCAGGAGGAGGAAAAGAGUAAUAUGAAAUAUACCCAGUGUGUUCUUCAUAAUAUGCUCACUCUCUAGGGGAAAAGUCUUUGCCAGAGCCUUAUUCCACCUGGAGGAGGGGCAUCUACCCAACUCUGUCCUCUUUAGCCUUCCUGUCUCACCUAAAGGGGAAAAAGCUAUACUAUUGGAACAAUGCCUGUGACGGUCAUGACCUAGGGAAAAAAGCCCACUAAACCACUGACAUUUAAUCAAAACACUAUACAGUACUUUCCUUAUCCCACAUCUUACCAGCACACACAGGGCUCCAGUGUAACAGUGGAUUACAAUGGAAAAAAAAAAAAAGCCAACACCCAGACUCUAGAGGGAGGAGUCCAAAGGCAAGAAGGGACACCAAAACCAAGGAUACUAGAGGAAUUUUAAACCUCUCCCACCUAUAACUACAGCAAACAUUAAAUACAGCUCACUUGCUGGCCAGAUUAACUUAAAUCUUCACAAGAAAAACCUGUUUACCUCAGUUCCCAUUAGACUAUGAAACAUGUCCAGCUACCAACAAAAAUUAACAUGCAUGCCAGAAGACCAAACAAAACAAUUCUGAAGAGACAGAGAAACCAUCAGACUGUGGCUUAGACAUGACACAGAUAUUGGAAUUAUAAAAACAGAUUUCUAAAUAACUAUGAUUGACUUGCAAAGGUUCUGAUGGAGUGUGCAAGGAAAUGUUUGCAGAGUUGCAAGAAAAAAGAAAACAACAACUUAGAACUCUAUAUCCAUGGAAACUCUCCUCAAAUGUGAGGGAGAAAUAAAGACAUUUCUGGAAAACAGAGACUGAGGGAAUUCAUUACGACCAGAUCUUCCCUGCAAGAAUGUUCGAAGUUCUCCAGGUAGAAAAACAACAGCAACAGGACCCUAACGGUUCAGAAACCCAGAUUGACACAAAGAAAGAAAAAGCUAUGGUGAUGCAAUAAAUUAAGGUAAAAUAAAAUUUCUCAGGAGGCGGGGCAAACUGGCAGAGGAGUGGGGUCCUCACCUGCCCCGGCCCCACCAACUGACCUGGGUAACUUUCAAAGCACCCUGAACACCUACGAAUUCAGCCUGAGAUUUAAAGAGAGAACGGCCGGAAAGCUGCAGAGAGAAGGGUUUGCACUUCUCACGAGGUAGGGAGGUGGAAAAACAUAAAUAACAAAGAACAGGGGGGAGGGGCCCUGCGAGGAGCUGGGCUAAGGGGGCGGCGAGGGCCUCCCCAGAAGCGGGGACUCUAGGAAUCCGCCCCGGACCCUCCCCGGGGGAAGUGCUCGCAAGGACCCGGGCAGGACCGCAGGGG
Molecule: long non-coding RNA, 1787 nt
Filed under: Canis lupus familiaris (dog)
Lineage: Eukaryota; Metazoa; Chordata; Mammalia; Carnivora; Canidae
Description: lncRNA (ENSCAFG00030022172.1)
Source: RNAcentral